Molecule: ribosomal RNA, 328 nt
Filed under: Anaspides spinulae
Lineage: Eukaryota; Metazoa; Arthropoda; Malacostraca; Anaspidacea; Anaspididae
Description: partial 16S ribosomal RNA
Rfam family: Bacterial large subunit ribosomal RNA (bases 232-328)
Source: RNAcentral
UUAAAAUUUGACUUUUAAGUAAAAAGGCUUAAAUAAAAUAGAAUGACGAUAAGACCCUAUAAAGCUUUAUAUUUAAAAAAUAACUAAUAAUCAAAAUUUAAAAAUUGUUUAUUUAGAAAAUAUUGUGUUGGGGCGACAAAAAUAAAAAUUGUAACUGUUUAUUUAUUAAAAACUUUUAAUAAAAGAAAAAAUGAUCCUUUAAUAAAGAUUAAAAGAUUAAGUUACUUUAGGGAUAACAGCGUAAUCUUUUUUGAGAGUUCAUAUCGACAAAAAGACUUGCGACCUCGAUGUUGAAUUAAGAAAUCCUUUUGGUGCAGCAGUCAAAAAG